Sarcophilus harrisii (Tasmanian devil) is the source of this 757-nucleotide long non-coding RNA. RefSeq lists it as uncharacterized. The transcript has 3 exons. The record is from RefSeq and is a predicted model, not a curated record. Lineage: Eukaryota; Metazoa; Chordata; Mammalia; Dasyuromorphia; Dasyuridae.
UUCUGUUGGCACCACUCACAGAAAUAUGGCAAAGAGGAACUAUGAGAUAAUCCCAUCAGUCUAUUAAUCUCUAAUUUCCAGAGAGUGAAUUCAUGACCAUUUGGACUGCAAAACAGCUUAUUUCCCAGAUAAAGGAAUAAAGCCAGUGCAGAGGAGUGCCUGGCAGAUGGAAAUGCAGAUGCCAAACCAAACCACAGAGGACCAUCAUGUCAAUGUUGAGAUAUCAGUGGAGGUAUAUUUGGUUAUACUCCUUGGAUCACUUUUUAAGCCACUCAUCUGUAGCAAGCAAUGACCAGAGAAAGGACCCUCACAUUCAUUUUCUCUACAUUGAGAACAAAGCAAAAAUCACACCUGCCAAACAGAGAAGCUUGAAAUCAACAGGGAAAUCAGAUGUGAUUUCAAGGUUCUAAAGUUCACAAAUAUGAAAUGAAAAAUCUGCCAGAGCUUCUCCCUGUAGGUAGUAUAUUAAAACCCAUGAAAAAUCUGAUUUUUCCAGUACCACCCUUUGAGAUAGAAAGUAAAUGCUUAUUAAAGAAGAACUUCAAGAGGAGUCCUCUAAGUGCUGGCGGGUUUUUGUUUUUUGUUUUUUUGGGUUUUUUUGUCAUCUAACCCUUUGACAUUCACCUCCCAAACCAUAAUUGAAAUAUCUAUCUCCUGCUACUUUCAUCUACCAAUCAAAAAAUUUUCAAAGAUUUUUAAAACAUUUUUUUUCCUACAGUAACUCACAGGAAAACAAAUUAUAGUUUCCUUCUUUAUU